Molecule: long non-coding RNA, 390 nt
Organism: Capra hircus (goat)
Lineage: Eukaryota; Metazoa; Chordata; Mammalia; Artiodactyla; Bovidae
Exons: 4
Source: RefSeq, a predicted model, not a curated record
AGCUCCCGGAAGACGCCGAUUUUAGCGUUUCCAAGGAGAUUAAAAUGCCUGGAGAACACGGCUUACUGAAGGGAGCGCCUAAGGAGGAUUGAAGGACCUUGAAGGAUUGGAAUGUAUAGACAUGAAGAAGGGACAAAAAAAGCCAUUAUCUUCUCUGUGUGAAGAUUCUGAAGAUCUUUCACCCUCCAUCCCUGUUCUCUUGGUCAAGUUGAACCCUGUAAGGAUUUGGAAGACUGCAGUCCAGUGGCCUGAAAUCCCGUUCAGCUGCAGCUCAGCUCUUUGAACAGCCGAGGGGAUCUCCCACAGGAUGGUGUGAGGAAAACUCUAGGAGAGGUGCUGCUGCUGCUGCUAAGUCGACUCUGUGCGACCCCAUAGACGGCAGCCCACCAG